AAGAUGAAUGACACUAUUUAUAUAUAUUUUAAAAUAAGGUGAUAGAGGCAUUUUAAUGUUAUACACAGCUUACAGUUAAACAUAUUGAAAAUGGCAUUGAGAUUAGAAACAUAAAUGAAUGAAGCAUGAAGUAAUGUACAAAGAUUUGGUUGAGCCAGCUCCGAAGCUACAUUUUAUCAUCAGCAAUUGGGGAGAAGUUUGCUUUAAAUACAGCUUUGAGUAAUAGAAAUAAGAUAGUGCACCACAGCCAAGAUGGGUACGAAUGAUUAGUAAAAUAAUAUCCAAACAAAUUUCCUUCUGUUUUAGUGGGGCUCACAAAAACAUUUGUGCCACAUAUUCGGGGCCUGAGACCAUUGUGAAGAUAACCAACUUCCAUGAAUUAGAAUGACAGUUUCAGUUCCCCUCAGAUUUCAUAGCAGUUUUAUAAAACUGUCAGUAACCAGAGUUUAAAAUAUAGCAGCAGGGCCGGCAGGGAAGGAGAGAGAAGUAACAUGUAUUCAGUACCCGCUUUGUAAGUGACACAUUUGCUAAGUGCUUUAUAUGUCAUCUUAUUUGGUCUUCCCCAAGAUCCCCAUGAACAAGAAAUCUUUAUUUCUCUUCCAAGCAAGGGGGAAGGGGGAAGGAGGGAGGGAGAGAGAGAAAGAGAAAGAAAGAGAGAGAAAGAGAGAGAGAGAGAAAUUGUCCAGCAUGUUAAAACUGGUAGUUGGAAGAAUCAGUACUAAAAAUCAAACCUAUUGACUCCAAGAACCAUUGUCCUUCUAUCAUAUCAGCUAAAGUACUUUUAAAUGACACACAGAGUCCAUUCCAUAAACUACAUAGAAAUGGGAAAAGUUCGACUAUUGCCUCAAGUUUUACAAAUCACAGUGACCAAAACCAAAACGUCAAAAUGUACCAUCCUACUAGUGGCCUGUACCUAAAGGAGAAUAAUCAAAUAGAUUAUUGGCAAAUACUAAAGAAGCUAUAUAGUAUUUUCCACAGAGACAAUUCGAUUGCCCAUGAAAAACACAUUUCAUCUCUAAGCCAAAUGUACCCAUGUCAAGAACUCCACUGAGUACAUCUAAGGCCUCCCCAUACAUGCUCUUCCUCUAAAGAGGGAGAUGUAACAGUGGUUAAGUAGGUGAUGUCAGGAAUCAGAAUGCCUGGUUAAGAAUCCUGGCUUUGAAAACCACAGGCUAUGUCACUAUGGGCCGGUUAUCCACUUACGCAUCAUGCUUCUUAACUGAAAAAUGAGACUAAAAAUAAUUUCUUUUCCAUAAUGUUAGCAAAGUGACAUUUGUCUCAUUGAAUCUCUGAGCAGAAGGAGUAGCGGACCAAACAAAGAGGUAAAUAUGCAAAGCACAGCUUCAAACAGCUGUGGACACUUUAAAGCUGGGGUCUGCCGAGUACUUCUUUGAAAUGAGUACUGUCUCACCUGCAGCUGCAUCUCUCGUCUCAUUUGCAAACCAAGGAUGGAUCUGUAAGAAUGAAAUUGAUGACUGCGUUGAUUCCCCCGAGAGUUCAUCCUUUUCCUGUGGCAAAUCUUUUCCCAAGUGAGAAUCUCUAGAAUCAUCACGACCAAUACCCAGUUACAUCCCAUUUCGAAAUGAAAUAAAACUGACUCCACUCUAAA
Long non-coding RNA from Acinonyx jubatus (cheetah), 1609 nucleotides. RefSeq lists it as uncharacterized. NCBI's taxonomy places the organism in Eukaryota, Metazoa, Chordata, Mammalia, Carnivora, Felidae. The transcript has 2 exons. The record is from RefSeq and is a predicted model, not a curated record.